RNAcentral lists this transfer RNA (76 nucleotides) under Candidatus Poribacteria bacterium. RNAcentral's name for it is "tRNA-Asn". It matches the Rfam family "tRNA". Rfam says of the family: Transfer RNA (tRNA) molecules are approximately 80 nucleotides in length. Their secondary structure includes four short double-helical elements and three loops (D, anti-codon, and T loops). Lineage: Bacteria; Candidatus Poribacteria. The record is from RNAcentral.
UCCUCCGUAGCUCAGUUGGUAGAGCGGGUGGCUGUUAACCACCUUGUCGUAGGUUCGAGUCCUGCCGGGGGAGCCA